This 219-nucleotide unclassified non-coding RNA is filed under the name Hevea brasiliensis (rubber tree). Lineage: Eukaryota; Viridiplantae; Streptophyta; Magnoliopsida; Malpighiales; Euphorbiaceae. The record is from RNAcentral.
AUGCGAAUACACUGGCAAAUACAUUGCUGAUAGAGCUGGUGGAGCUGGUACUCGUAACUGUGGCAGUCAAGCAUGUAGUUGCUGGCGUUGCCGCUGAAAGUCCAACUGGAUUUUCUGUUAAUUCUGAGCUUUGAACUGAUGACAGACCCGGAGAAACCACAGUGGUUGAUGGCGUAAGAGGUGGAGGAGAUGGUGAAGCAACCACGCUCUUCACAUUCG